Beta vulgaris subsp. vulgaris (sugar beet) is the source of this 5582-nucleotide long non-coding RNA. RefSeq lists it as uncharacterized. Lineage: Eukaryota; Viridiplantae; Streptophyta; Magnoliopsida; Caryophyllales; Amaranthaceae. The record is from RefSeq and is a predicted model, not a curated record. The transcript has 2 exons.
CAUACAUCUCUUUUUAGUUUAAUUUUGUGAUUUCUCUGUCAAAUAUAAUCUCAAGUAUAGUGUAUGUAUUGUUUUCAUAUGAGAAAAUAUGGAAUUUGAUUGAAUUUGUUGGUAUGCAAAUUGAGUAGAAAUGAUUUCGCCAUUGAUAUAAGUUCAGAUAAGUUUAAAUAAGCUCACGUAAGAAAAAAAUAGUAAAUAUAAUAAAUACUAGUAGAAAAAACCUCAAUUGCUCCGAUAAAGAGAAUAUCGUAGUGAAUUCCAUUAUGUUGUGAGUCUUUUUUUAAAAAGUUAUUCGGCUACAAAAGUUUCAUGAAAAGUGAAAAUUGGAACGUUUAUAUUGUCUACUAAUUUAGUACAAGCAAUAAUUUCUUUGAAUUGUCCAUGUAUCAAUAGAUGUUGAUAGGCUAUCUAAUUAAAAUUGCAUCAUAUGCGUCAUCCAAUGUAGCCUCUUGUAUUAUGUAUAAUUAGCUAGUAAGCCAAGUCUUCAAGUUAAACAUUAGCUAUUCUUCAUGAAUUUUUGCCGUCAAUCAAGUUUACUUGAGUGCUAGAUUAGUUGAGCAUUAAAUUAGUGACAAUUAUGUCUUAGCAUAUUUUGUAAGUUAAUAUUCUUAUUAGGAAGAAUUCAUACAACAAUCAAUAUAAAUUUAGAAUCUUUCUAUUUCUCUAUAGAGUAUGAUGUUUCAAGUACAAAUGAGUUGCGCUGUUUAGCUAGCUAUUAAGUAUAUGGAUAAUAUAGUGUAUAUUUGACUUAGGGUCUGUUCUCUUCGGCUUAAAACAACUGGACUGAAUUGAAUUGAAUUGAACUAAACUGAAAUGAACAGUGAUAUGUGAGAGUAAAAGUAUUGUCUAGAACUAAACUGAACUGAAAAUAAGUUGGGGAGAACAGACCCUUAACUGCCCUUAUUAAUAAGAUAGCAAAGGUAGAAAAGGUGAGUGUAUUAUGUCAAUAUAUACUAUAUUCCCUAUAGAAUAAUUAGUUAUAUGGUGUGAAAGAUAGUAAAUGCUUAAAAGAGUUGGUGUGCAUUGAGCUAUUGCACUCUAGAAAAAAAUGGACAUUCACCUAAGAUCUUGGACAAAAUUUGUAGGGACAAGGUUUAAAUCUCUCAAAUAUCUUAUCUUUUUAUAAGUAUAAUUUAAAUAGCAUACGUACUUUUAUAUAUGUAUAAUAUAUAACUAGUAUUUAGGCCCGGGGGAUGCCCCGGAUUUUCUCUUUGCUACAAUUUAUUAGUAGUUAAAUAAGGAUUCUCAUACUCAUUUAAAAAAGUCAUCUUAUUCAUUAUAUGUAUUUCAAACGUUUUCCAUUCAUAUGUCAUCAUUAAUUUUGAUUACAAAAUCAAUAAUGGUAAGAUGGAGUAAUGGUUGGAUUUCUUACUUUCAUACUUGACGUUGUGGGUUCGAAUCUUUACGUAAACAAUUCUUUUUUUUAACUAUAUGAGAAAGACGUGGAUAGAAUAUUAUUGGAUGAGGGAGGGUGACACGUGGCAUAUAUACGUUCUUAGGAACGCCUUUUAAUAUAUUAGUAUAGAUAUUUUCAAUAACUCGUGAGAAAAAAAAUUAAGGGCAAACCUCUGCUCGGCUACUCCUCCCGACUAAAAUUCGUUAUUUAAUGUUCUUCCCACAUGAUAAAGGUAUAUUAAUAUUCUCAUAUUUGAUAACUUUGUCAUUUCUUUAUUGUUUGUAAGAAUAAAAAUGUCUUUAUAUGCAUAUUUAUUUGGUGAAGAACAAUUAUGUAAAUAGUCUAACAUUUCAUUCUAGAGCUGGUCCAACAUAGACCCCAUUAUGUCAUGUUGAUAUUCAUUGAAUCAUGCAUAAUAACAGACUAUGUCUUGUUGUGCACCAAAAAAAACAGACUUAUGUCUUUAUUAAAUAAAUCGUACUAUGUUUUGGGAUUUUCACCAAAAUCAAGUCUUGCUUGUGACGAAGAUUUUUCUUCUUGGUGAAUAAUGAUAAAAAUGAAUUAAUAUUUCUAAAGAAAUAAACUUUAGAUGUUUCAAUAAAUAAGUAGGUCUUUAAGCACGGGCAUGGCCAAGCUUUUAUGCACAAGCAAAAGACAACCGAUAACAUUAUUCGGUUCCUCCUUUUUCUUUACACUUCUUCCUUUAUUCCUUCUUUUAUGGAUGGCAGGUAGUACUUGGUAAGAAGUCAUAACUAAGAACUCUUUAUUUUUUUUUAUUUUUUUUUUGAUUGGGAAAUUAAGUCAGUCCAAGAGCUAAUCCCUACUAAGGCUACUAGCCUUGUAGGAACUACCAGCACAUUGGCUGGUAAUACAUGCAAAGCAUGCUAAGGAAAUUCCCCAACAUAAUGCUAGGAGUAAGGAUCGAACCCCUGACCCCAGAGAUCAGAGGGGAGUGCUCUACCACAUGAGCUACCUCCUCAUCCUUAUAACUAAGAACUCUUUAUACUUUUUCAUAACAACAGUGAGAGCAUGUAGUUGAAAAUUAUAUAUAUAAACGAACCAAAACCUCGUACAGGUCAAUAUAUACGGUCGGGUUAGUAGGAUAGGAACUUUAAGGGUAAGAGGGAUGGUAAGGGAAAUCCUUACUCUCAACGUGCCCUAGUGGGAAUUAAAUCCUGACUUUAAGGUUGGGAGGCAUAAUAAUUCUUACUACAAGACGAAGCUUAACUUGGUAUGUAUACCGAGUAUUAUAUAUAGAUUGUAAGUUUCGUUGAUUUUAAUAAAAUUCUUCGGUGUCUUUCUAAUUUCAACAUUUUGACUUUGUUCAAUUUUUUUUUUAAUUACUAGGGACCAAAUUGUUUGAUAACAAAAGUCUAAAUAUUGUGACUUAAGAAAUGAGAGAGGUAUGAAAGCAAGGACUCAAGAUGUGCUUUAAUUUGAUAAACUUAAUGGGAAAUUUAUCCUCUCAAAUAAUGAGAGAUUUAUUUCUUGUCAUGUACUAACACAUUUGUAUAUGUCCUUAUAUGUCUAUCCAAAAUUAAUUAUCAUAUUAUUGAUUAGAUUACAUAAUUAUUAUUAUUAUAAUAGUUUAAGAUUACAAUUUGUUGUUAUUAUUUGAGAGUACUAUUUAUUUUUUGACAAAAAUGUGUCAAUCAAACUUAUUAAUGAGACCAAAUACUAUAGCAAUUAAUAAAAAGAAAUAUGACUAUCAAUCGAUUAGGUAUUUGUUCAAGUUGAUGGGGUUUCUUGUCGACAAGGACAAAUGCGUUCUUGAAGUCUUCAGAGUUGAUAUAGUACGAAAGAUUAUGUGUAUAUAACAUAAACAUGUAGCUUGUUGUUAAUAAUUGAGCUAAUAUAAUCUCUUUAUCUAAGAUAACAUUUUCUUUCAAAUGAUUCAUGACCUCCAUGUAUUUAGAAUAUGUUUGUUAAUAAUUCUUUUCUUGAAAUGAAAUGAUGCUACAAAUACUGAUAAGUUAGCAAAACUUGGCAAGGCACCACCACUAAAAGGACACCAUGUGACAUUAAUAAUAAUUUUUUAUCUCCUUUCGAAAAUUCGUGAUAAGAUGAAUUUCCCAUCAGACUCAAGACUGUAGUUGUAACAUUAAUAAUAUGGAUAUAAUAUACAUGCUAGUACUACACUCGUAAUUUUAAAUAUUGCAACUAAAUAAAAACAGAGGUAGCUAGUAUUUGUUCAUAUCAAUCAUAGUAUAAAAAGUUACCAAAGUUGCCUCUUAUUUUGUCCUACUUACUUUUGAGCAAACUCAUGCUUUGUCUCUAUAUGUUAUAGCUAAACUUUAGUCAUUGAAAUUAUUUAUAUACAUUUAUCGAUAGUUUAUAUUAUAUUACAAAAAAAGAACGAGGGAAAAUAUAUAUGUAUGCAAAUUAGCUUGAUUGGUUAUCUAAAACAUAAGAUCCAAUCUUUUCAACAUGACCAUUUUGUGGACCCUCUACAUAUAUAUAAAACAUUAGAAAUAUAUAUAAAAAAAAGGAUAAAUAUAUAGUACUCCCUCCGUCCCAAAAUAUAGUUCCCAUUUGCCUUUUUUCACGGUAAUUUAUGCAAGUAGAAUCUAGGAGGGAUAGUAAAGAUUUUUUGUUUAUUUAAAUAAAUGUUGUAUGGGAAAAGAUGAUCUUAAGAGAGAGAGUGGAGAAUCAUUGGUGAAAGAGCAUUAAUUGUAACAUUUUGGUUGAAUAAACAAAGGAAAAAACAAAUUUCAAGAAGAAAAUAAGGGUCUGUUCUCCCCAGCUUAUUUUCAGUUCAGUUCAGUUCAGCUCUAAUAAGUUCAGUUCAGUUCAGUUCAGCUCCAAUAAGUUCAGUUCAGUUCAGCUCCAAUAAGUUCAGUUCAGUUCAGUUGAGUUCAGAUCAGAUCAGUUCAGCUCUAUUUUUUUAUAACCAUUUUGUUAAAUAUUAUUAUUAUUAUGUUGGUAUAAUUUAUUUUACUAAUUACUAUUAUUAUUAUUAUUAUUAUUUAAAUAUAUAUCAUUACUAUUAAGUAUUAUUAUUAUUAUUAUUAUUAUUGUUGUUUCUAUAUAUUUUUUUUAUUGUAGCUUUACUAAUUAUUAUUACUAUUAUUAUUAGGAGGAACAUGGUUUAGGUCAAAGCACAAAUAAACCCACUUUUUUUAGCCCAUAAACCAAUCAAAUCGCGUCAAGACGGUUUAUGAUGUAAUUUUGCGGUCCAACCCAAUCAUUAUUUUUAUUACUAAAUAUUUUUAUAUUAUUAAAUCUAAUUAUUAAAAUAGUAAUAUUAAUUUACUUCUUAGAUAUUAUUGUUAUUAAUAUCAUCGUCAAGUAUUAAUAUAUUAAUACAAAUAAUAUAUAAUAAUUAUUAUUAAUUAUCAUUACUAUCAUUAAUUAUUAUUAUUAUUAAUAUUAAUUUUAUAACUGUCAUUUAAAAAUAUUCAAAAUACUACUAUUAUUAUUAUUCAUUAUUAUUACUUAUCAUUAUAAUUAUUAUUUAAUAUUAUAUUAUUAUUGUUUAAAAUAUUAUUUAUAUACUUAUUACAUUUAAUUUAUUUCAAUGUAAUAUAAUUCAAUUCAAUUUAAUUCAAUUCAAUUCAGUUCAGUUCAAUUCAGUUCAGUUCAGUUCAGCUCUGAUAAGUUCAGUUCAGUUCAGCUCCGAUAAGUUCAGUUCAGUUCAGUUCAGCUUUGAUAAGUUCAGUUCAGUUCAGUUCAGUUCAGCUGUUUUAUGCCGAAGAGAACAGGCCCUAAAUGAUGGGACACGGUUUUUCUAGACAAAUUACGGAAAAAUGUGGAACUAAAUAUGGAAAUGGGAACUAUAUUUUGGGACACCCAAAAUGGAAAUGGGAACUAUAUUUUGGGACGGAGGGAGUAGUAUUUAACAACGAUCACGAGCCGUAAAAACUUAUAUAGACCUGAUUCACACUAAGUUAUUGUGGAUCUAAUGCUAGUACAUGUGAUUUCUGAAAAAAAAAAUGGUCAAUAUAUACAUAAAAAAUAGAUAUAAAAGAGAAGUAUGUAUAAAUUACAAAGGGUUACUAUGUGAGAAAAAAGGUUACUAUGUUAUAAAAUAAAUUUUUAUCAUGGUAAGCUAAUGUAAGAAAGGGUAAUUGUAUCCAAAUAAACUGUCGCAAUGUUAGAUAAUAAUAGAUUUGUGUAACUUAAAAUUUUAAGAGGUCACUACAUGAUAAAAAAAAAAAGGUUUAUCGAGGUGAAUUUUUUUGACAAG